ACUCCUGCGGGAGGCAGCAGUGGGGAAUUUUGGACAAUGGGGGCAACCCUGAUCCAGCAAUGCCGCGUGAGUGAAGAAGGCCUUCGGGUUGUAAAGCUCUUUUGUCAGGGAAGAAACGGUGGUGGCGAAUAACUACUACUAAUGACGGUACCUGAAGAAUAAGCACCGGCUAACUACGUGCCAGCAGCCGCGGUAAUACGUAGGGUGCAAGCGUUAAUCGGAAUUACUGGGCGUAAAGCGUGCGCAGGCGGUUGUGUAAGUCAGAUGUGAAAUCCCCGGGCUCAACCUGGGAAUUGCAUUUGAGACUGCACGGCUAGAGUGUGUCAGAGGGGGGUAGAAUUCCACGUGUAGCAGUGAAAUGCGUAGAUAUGUGGAGGAAUACCGAUGGCGAAGGCAGCCCCCUGGGAUAACACUGACGCUCAUGCACGAAAGCGUGGGGAGCAAACAGGAUUAGAUACCCGGGUAGUCCC
Molecule: ribosomal RNA, 470 nt
Filed under: uncultured organism
Description: partial 16S ribosomal RNA
Rfam family: Bacterial small subunit ribosomal RNA
Source: RNAcentral